AGGGGGGUAGAGAAGUAGUAACUCGGGAGGCUCAUAACCUCCAGACCUAGGUGCAAUUCCUAGCCCCCCUA
Molecule: transfer RNA, 71 nt
Filed under: Parcubacteria group bacterium
Lineage: Bacteria
Description: tRNA-Met
Rfam family: tRNA
About the family: Transfer RNA (tRNA) molecules are approximately 80 nucleotides in length. Their secondary structure includes four short double-helical elements and three loops (D, anti-codon, and T loops). Further hydrogen bonds mediate the characteristic L-shaped molecular structure. tRNAs have two regions of fundamental functional importance: the anti-codon, which is responsible for specific mRNA codon recognition, and the 3' end, to which the tRNAs corresponding amino acid is attached (by aminoacyl-tRNA synthetases). tRNAs cope with the degeneracy of the genetic code in two manners: having more than one tRNA (with a specific anti-codon) for a particular amino acid; and 'wobble' base-pairing, i.e. permitting non-standard base-pairing at the 3rd anti-codon position.
Source: RNAcentral